This 254-nucleotide ribosomal RNA is filed under the name uncultured bacterium. Its description in RNAcentral is "partial 16S ribosomal RNA". It matches the Rfam family "Bacterial small subunit ribosomal RNA", at positions 524 to 776 of the family's 1533-position model. The record is from RNAcentral.
UACGUAGGGGGCAAGCGUUAUCCGGAAUCAUUGGGCGUAAAGCGCGUGUAGGCGGUUCCGUAAGUCCGCUCUGAAAGCCCCAGGGCUCAACCCUGGGAGGCGGGUGGAUACUACGGAACUGGAGUACGGAAGAGGAGAUUGGAAUUCCUGGUGUAGCGGUGAAAUGCGCAGAUAUCAGGAGGAACACCGGUGGCGAAGGCGGGUCUCUGGGCCGAUACUGACGCUGAGGAGCGAAAGCGUGGGGAGCGAACAGG